This 255-nucleotide ribosomal RNA is filed under the name uncultured bacterium. RNAcentral describes it as "partial 16S ribosomal RNA". It matches the Rfam family "Bacterial small subunit ribosomal RNA", at positions 524 to 776 of the family's 1533-position model. The record is from RNAcentral.
UACGGUAGGGUGCAAGCGUUGUCCGGAAUUAUUGGGCGUAAAGAGCUCGUAGGCGGUUUGUCGCGUCUGCUGUGAAAACUCGGGGCUUAACUCCGGGCCUGCAGUGGGUACGGGCAGACUAGAGUGCGGUAGGGGAGACUGGAAUUCCUGGUGUAGCGGUGAAAUGCGCAGAUAUCAGGAGGAACACCGGUGGCGAAGGCGGCGACCUGGUCCUUGACUGACGCUGGAGGCGCGAAAGCGUGGGGAGCAAACAGG